Molecule: ribosomal RNA, 253 nt
Filed under: uncultured bacterium
Lineage: Bacteria
Description: partial 16S ribosomal RNA
Rfam family: Bacterial small subunit ribosomal RNA
Source: RNAcentral
UACAGAGGUCUCAAGCGUUGUUCGGAUUCAUUGGGCGUAAAGGGUGCGUAGGCGGCGCGGUAAGUCGGGGGUGAAAUCUCGGAGCUUAACUCCGAAACUGCAUUCGAUACUGCCGUGCUUGAGGACUGGAGAGGAGACUGGAAUUUACGGUGUAGCGGUGAAAUGCGUAGAUAUCGUAAGGAAGACCAGUGGCGAAGGCGGGUCUCUGGACAGUUCCUGACACUGAGACACGAAGGCCAGGGGAGCAAACGGG